UAUCUCUGUAGAGUCUGCAUAUCAAUAAGCGGAGGAAAAGAAACUAACUAGGAUUCCCUCAGUAACGGCGAGUGAAGCGGGAAGAGCUCAAAUUUGAAAUCUUCAAGGUUUUACCUUGACGAAUUGUAGUUUAAAGAAGUGUUUUCUGUUGGUGUUUUGGUAAAAGUUCUUUGGAAUAGGACAUCAUAGAGGGUGAGAAUCCCGUAUUUGACCAUUACUUCCAGCGUUGUGAUACACUUUCAAAGAGUCGGAUUGUUUGGGAAUGCAGUCCAAAAUGGGUGGUAAAUUUCAUCUAAAGCUAAAUAUUGGCGAGAGACCGAUAGCGAACAAGUACCGUGAGGGAAAGAUGAAAAGAACUUUGAAAAGAGAGUUAAACAGUACGUGAAAUUGUCAAAAGGGAAGCGUUUGACACCAGUGUUGUUUUCUCGAAAAUCAAUUAAAAAAGAUUGGAUUUUGUGUUGUAUUGACUUUAUCAGCUUUCAGCACUCUUUUUCUUGUCUUUUUUAAUGCACUUUUCGCUUAACAAGUCAACAUCAAUUUCUUUUGUUGUAAAAGGGUCAUUGGAAGGUGGCUUUCUUUUCGGAGAAAGUGUUUAUAGCCUUUGACUUCUGCAAUCGGAGAGAUUGAGGUCUGCAGCGUAGAUCCUUCGGGGUUAGAUAGCAUUUGUGCUAAGCUAUAGCCUUUCAUAGACAACUUGUUGACUAUGAUCAGUCAUGUAGCUUACUCGCUUAUGCUAUUUUACCUACGCUUAGGAUGUUGAUCUCUCACAGUCGAGC
RNAcentral lists this ribosomal RNA (776 nucleotides) under uncultured Neocallimastigales. RNAcentral describes it as "partial large subunit ribosomal RNA". It matches the Rfam family "Eukaryotic large subunit ribosomal RNA", at positions 24 to 645 of the family's 3401-position model. The record is from RNAcentral. Lineage: Eukaryota; Fungi; Neocallimastigomycota; Neocallimastigomycetes; Neocallimastigales.